RNAcentral lists this transfer RNA (72 nucleotides) under Halobacteriales archaeon. Its description in RNAcentral is "tRNA-Ala". It matches the Rfam family "tRNA". Rfam says of the family: Transfer RNA (tRNA) molecules are approximately 80 nucleotides in length. Their secondary structure includes four short double-helical elements and three loops (D, anti-codon, and T loops). Further hydrogen bonds mediate the characteristic L-shaped molecular structure. tRNAs have two regions of fundamental functional importance: the anti-codon, which is responsible for specific mRNA codon recognition, and the 3' end, to which the tRNAs corresponding amino acid is attached (by aminoacyl-tRNA synthetases). tRNAs cope with the degeneracy of the genetic code in two manners: having more than one tRNA (with a specific anti-codon) for a particular amino acid; and 'wobble' base-pairing, i.e. permitting non-standard base-pairing at the 3rd anti-codon position. The record is from RNAcentral. RNAcentral also lists the same sequence under 1 other name. Lineage: Archaea; Methanobacteriati; Methanobacteriota; Halobacteria; Halobacteriales.
GGGCCCAUAGCUCAGCGGCAGAGCGCCGCCUUUGCAAGGCGGAAGCCGAGGGUUCAAAUCCCUCUGGGUCCA